Molecule: non-coding RNA, 436 nt
Organism: Cavia porcellus (domestic guinea pig)
Lineage: Eukaryota; Metazoa; Chordata; Mammalia; Rodentia; Caviidae
Source: the annotation of a RefSeq genome assembly
GGCUGCUCACACCCUGUUCAGGAGUCAGUCCCAUUCCAGACACGGCAUGGUCAUGGGGAUCCCUGCUCAUCUCCUGGGGCUCCUGCUGCUCUGGCUCCAAGGUGCAAGGUGUGACAUCCAGAUUACUCAGACUCCAUCCUCCUUGUCUGCAUCUGUGGGAGACACAGUCACCAUCAAUUGUCGGGCCAGUCAGGGUAUUAACAACUACUUAAACUGGUAUCAACAGAAACCAGGACAACCUCCUAAACGCCUGAUCUACUAUGCAACCAGUUUGGAAUCUGGGGUCCCAUCGAGGUUCAGAGGUAGUGGAUCUAGGACAGAUUACACUCUCACCAUCAGUAGCCUGCAGCCUGAAGAUGUUGCUAUUUAUUACUGUCAGCAAGGUUAUGAUACUCCUCCCACAGUGAUACAAGCCAUAACAAAAACCAGUCAGUAA